Small nuclear RNA from Balaenoptera acutorostrata (minke whale), 106 nucleotides. The record is from RefSeq and is a predicted model, not a curated record. Lineage: Eukaryota; Metazoa; Chordata; Mammalia; Artiodactyla; Balaenopteridae.
GUGCUUGCUCCGGCAGCACAUAUGCUGAAAUUGGAACAAUACAGAGGAAAUUAGCAUGGCCCCUGUGCAAGAUGACACACAAAUUCAUGCAGUGUUCCAUACUUUU